GCAGUGAGUGCAGCUUUGACCUCAGCGUUCCCGGACAGUUUGGCAUAGUGUGUGACAUCGUGGCCCUGUGAGUCCACAGCUGACAGAUCUGCUCCUCGCUGAACCAAAACUUCUACAACAGACACAGCACUGGACUCACAGGCAAGCAUCAAGGCUGUCCUGCAACACGGGAACAUACACAUAUUGAUCACUAAUACAUCAUCUCCCAAUCAUCCAAGAACAGCCCCACAGUCCAGCAAAGAGCUGCACACUUCAGCAUGAGCGUGUUUGGCCGACAACAGCAAGGGGGUGAGUCCCUCCUUUGGGAAAAACAGAGAUUAUAAAGCAUUAGAUAUGGCUGAUUUCAUCAUAUAGAGGGACCUUAAACCAACAUAACACACAGCUAUAUAAUUCAUCCUGUAUGACAUCAGGUCGUGGGCCUUGACAUGCAGUAUUUAAAGUGUCUGUGUGGUGAGAGAAAUCUCAGAUCCAUGUGAAGAAGGAGUGGAUGUCUCUUAAAUGAAUUUCCCAGAAAAUAAGAGGAAAGGCAAACAUUCAGCGUUGAGUUUGGGAAAGUCCCCUGAAAUGAUGUAUUUACAGUUCUAAAUAAAUAGGCUGACUCAGAACAAGUUUAAUGGCUAGGGCUGGGAAGCUGAGGCCAUAUUGCAUGCAACGUAUUAUCCCAUAUUUUACUCAGGACUGACAGAUCCUGACCCCAAGCAUGACAUUUCACCUAACCCUAACCAUCUAUGACCUAAAUCUAACAGGAGUGUUUCAUUGGCUGAGCUUUUGGAGGGUGGUGCUCAGUCUGGAAGGAGCAGCAGCCAUGAAUGCUACAUAAUCUUCAGACAGAUGAUAAUAGUAAAUACAUUGCAUCUCAAAAUGGUAACAGAAAUAUGUGUUAAGAGUGAGCUCUGAAUUCUAUUUUCUGAACACAGUGAAUUAAAGAAGAAAAACAAAGACAUUCAUACAGAGUUCAGCUGAAAAUGUAGGACUGCAUGUUUCCACGGGUCAUUUAUGUUGUUGAAAGUGAAACAAAGUCAAAGAAAGAAAAGAAAGCGAACUAUUCAGCUGGAAACAAGAGAUUGCUAAGCAACAGUAAAGUGUGUCAGCAUAACUCUGUGUUUUAUAUUACAAGGCUGCUGCUUCCACACCACAGAGAACAAAACUAUGUUGUGGGUUCCUCUGAGCUCUGCUGAAGACUUUAACAGACUUGUGUCUGCUCUGCUCAGUCUGUGUUCCUACUGAUCCGUCUCUGCUCUGGGAUCUAACAGACAGAAAAUAAUCUUUUUAUUCACAGGGUUACACAUCCAGUGUCUGCGUGUGAGUGUGACAGCUCAGGUGUCAAAUGUGUGUUUAUGUACACCUGUUUCCAAUUUGCUGACAUCUCUUCAGUUUAAAGCCUAGAUGCCAAAUUCACUGUGAUUCAGUCUUCACAGUGGAGUGUGAUGCCUUGAAGGGCCUGUCAAUCAAGGCGAACUCCCACACACAUGCCCCAAUUUAAAGCUCAACACACUCUUAUUGGGACAGUUAUAAUUACCCACAUGCACAGUGGAGUUUUGGUUAUAAAACUGAAACUUUUCCAAAGUUAUUUUGUUUAGAGAAGUUUGAGUAUCUAUCUUAUCUGCAACUGGAUCAUCCUUCCAACAUAAGCAACCUUACCAAAGCUUCAAGGUUUGAGAAGUAAACAUUUUGUUGUUGUACAUCAAGGUCUGUGCAUAUGCAAAAACCUACAUGUGGUACAACAUGUGACAAAGUAUAUUCAGCAUGAGACAAAUACAGGAGAAAUUGCUGAAGGGGUUGUUGUGCCUAAUUAAGACUGAGGUUGUUUUUAUGUGCAGCUUGAAGGUGAAGGAUCAUAUUAACUAGUCAUUCUUAACCUUUCAAACAUGAGCGCCUGUUGUAGUAGCAAUGUCUCUUUUAUGGCCCCCAAUCACAUGUUGCGUACAUCAAUAAAAUGUGAACUGUAGAAACAAA
Long non-coding RNA from Notolabrus celidotus (New Zealand spotty), 1956 nucleotides. RefSeq lists it as uncharacterized. The transcript is spliced from 2 exons. The record is from RefSeq and is a predicted model, not a curated record. Lineage: Eukaryota; Metazoa; Chordata; Actinopteri; Labriformes; Labridae.